Molecule: ribosomal RNA, 301 nt
Filed under: uncultured bacterium
Lineage: Bacteria
Description: partial 16S ribosomal RNA
Rfam family: Bacterial small subunit ribosomal RNA
Source: RNAcentral
CAGUCGCCGCGGUAAUACGUAGGUGGCAAGCGUUGUCCGGAAUUAUUGGGCGUAAAGGGCUCGCAGGCGGUUUCUUAAGUCUGAUGUGAAAGCCCCCGGCUCAACCGGGGAGGGUCAUUGGAAACUGAGAAACUUGAGUGCAGAAGAGGAGAGUGGAAUUCCUCGUGUAGCGGUGAAAUGCGUAGAGACGUGGAGGAACACCAGUGGCGAAGGCGACUCUCUGGUCUGUAACUGACGCUGAGGAGCGAAAGCGUGGGGAACGAACAGGAUUAGAUACCCGUGUAGUCCCUGUCUCUUAUAC